AGAAAGAGAAUGGAAAAGGGAAAAUGUGAGCACAGAGAAAUUGGCACUGAUUUCCAUCACAAAAAGAGACUCUACAAAGCUCUGGAGGAAAGUUAUACCACCGCAUAGGCUGAUGUUGGGUUUCGCACAUCUACAAUCACAGAGCUUGGACUAGCCUACAUAUGUAACAAUGUUAAACUGAGUGCAUGUCUUUGUAUAUGAAGAAGGAACCUAAGUGUGUUU
This is a long non-coding RNA of Bubalus bubalis (water buffalo), 222 nucleotides long. RefSeq lists it as uncharacterized. The transcript has 2 exons. NCBI's taxonomy places the organism in Eukaryota, Metazoa, Chordata, Mammalia, Artiodactyla, Bovidae. The record is from RefSeq and is a predicted model, not a curated record.